Molecule: long non-coding RNA, 1074 nt
Filed under: Betta splendens (Siamese fighting fish)
Lineage: Eukaryota; Metazoa; Chordata; Actinopteri; Anabantiformes; Osphronemidae
Description: lncRNA (ENSBSLG00000005417.1)
Source: RNAcentral
AUAGUGAGAGAUCUUAAGUCUUCCUCUCUUCCUGUAGGUUUUGUAGGUCAUAGCACUUGAAAGCCAGGAGUGGAACUGAUGAUGAUUUCUUGGGAGAAUGGGAGCGGUGGGGAGGGUCUCCUCCUGGAUGAGCUCUUAUCAGAGUCCAGCAUGCUGUUGAAACAGCAAGGAUCAUUUUCCGAGUGUUUACUUUCCGUUAUUGCUUGUGUUCAAAGUACCUCAUUAUGUAAAGACAUAGGGAAAAGAAGUAGAUGCUGUUUCUGGUCAUAAUACACAGAGAUUUGUCUCGAGCCUUGGACGCACAUUUUGUCAUCCGUUUUUCUCCCCAUACUUUUCUACACAAGGUACUUCUGGGAGCUGGAUGCCGGGAAUUAGCUUUAAUCACACAUUCCCUCUGCAGUGAUGGGCGACUGACAAGCUGGGCACAUUUUUAGUUUCCCACUUUUUAGCUGUUUGUGGGUGAGCGGCGCUGAGCCCACCAGCUUCUACCCACCAGCUUCUACCCACCUCACACCCAUCGGAGGUCUUCAGCCAAAGAAGCGGCUCCGCCCACAUGCCGCCAGCUCCCUGAUGAACCACCGCAAGCGGCAGAAAGUUUGUGUCUGCAGCACACUCGCCUGUUACUGAGAGCUAAAUCAAAGGCCCGCUCUGUUAUUAGAGCCAGUGUGCUUUUGAGGAAAACAAAAUCCGACUUACAUCCAGACUUGUGAUCCCACUAAAACAGGCACCAGAAGAGGAAAAAAAAGGCUCUUUUCCCUAACAAAGCAUUUGUCAUCAGUUUGCAGUUGCUCUGUUCGCAAGCAUGGUUCAGAUUUGCUUCUAUGCGCAGCUGUCACCGAGCCUGUUGGACGUCCUGGAACCCAAACACACAAACCAGAAGAGAUUAGUGUGCCAUGUCAACCCACUGCUUCCACAGAUGGCACGGAUGCUUUUAGCCCGCUCCCUGUAGACAGCCACUCAUUGAUCUUUCAUACUAAACUCCACACAGCAGGACUCUUGAUACUGUUUUAUUUAUCAUUCUGGCAUUUACUAUUAAGGGCAAUAAAGUUUGACAUGUGUGGGUUUUAACUGUAG